RNAcentral lists this ribosomal RNA (387 nucleotides) under uncultured bacterium. Its description in RNAcentral is "bacterial SSU rRNA". It matches the Rfam family "Bacterial small subunit ribosomal RNA", at positions 28 to 416 of the family's 1533-position model. The record is from RNAcentral.
GACGAACGCUGGCGGCGUGCUUAACACAUGCAAGUCGAACGGUGACGAGGAGCUUGCUCCUCCGAUCAGUGGCGAACGGGUGAGUAACACGUGAGUAACCUGCCCCAGACUCUGGAAUAACAGUUGGAAACAGCUGCUAAUACCGGAUACGAGACGGAGAGGCAUCUCUACCGUCUGGAAAGUUCUUCGGUCUGGGAUGGACUCGCGGCCUAUCAGCUUGUUGGUGAGGUAAUGGCUCACCAAGGCGACGACGGGUAGCCGGCUUGAGAGGGCGACCGGCCACACUGGGACUGAGACACGGCCCAGACUCCUACGGAGGCAGCAGUGGGGAAUAUUGCACAAUGGGCGAAAGCCUGAUGCAGCAACGCCGCGUGAGGGAUGACGGCC